CGGAUGCGUGUGGGGGUGUCCCCACAGUCCUGCAGAGGAGUGUGCUGUGAGGUGCCAGAGUGGACAGGAAGGGAACGGGAGGUGCGAGGAUGGAGCUGCCGCCACUGGCAGCGGCUGGGGCUGUGCAGAUGGAGGAAGCUGUCGAGAGGGCUGAGCAGAAGCGGCGGCAGUCCCCGAGCCCACCACCAUCGCCGAG
This is a long non-coding RNA of Melopsittacus undulatus (budgerigar), 196 nucleotides long. RefSeq lists it as uncharacterized. Lineage: Eukaryota; Metazoa; Chordata; Aves; Psittaciformes; Psittaculidae. The transcript is spliced from 3 exons. The record is from RefSeq and is a predicted model, not a curated record.